This 72-nucleotide transfer RNA is filed under the name Pseudomonadota bacterium. RNAcentral's name for it is "tRNA-Ile". It matches the Rfam family "tRNA". Rfam says of the family: Transfer RNA (tRNA) molecules are approximately 80 nucleotides in length. The record is from RNAcentral. RNAcentral also lists the same sequence under 1 other name. Lineage: Bacteria; Pseudomonadati; Pseudomonadota.
GGGCCUGUAGCUCAACGGUAGAGCAGCCGGCUCAUAACCGGUCGGGUGCAGGUUCGACCCCUGCCAGGCCCA